RNAcentral lists this transfer RNA (63 nucleotides) under Maiestas dorsalis. RNAcentral's name for it is "tRNA-Cys". The record is from RNAcentral. Lineage: Eukaryota; Metazoa; Arthropoda; Insecta; Hemiptera; Cicadellidae.
GGUCUUAUAUUUUAAGUUAAAAAUUUUAAAUUGCAAGUUUAAAGAUGAAUAUUUCUAAGACUU